CCAAAAAAAAUUGUCGAUUGCUCUUCACUAAACAAACCCUAAAACAAACCCUUGCCUGCCUCUUUCUCACAGCCGCUCAAAGUCUUCUCUCACCUACCUCAUCUCUUUCUCUCACUUGUCUCCUCCCCCUUUCUCUGGAUCCCCCAUCUUUCUCUCACCUUACCUCCAUCUUAUUCUCUCUGAUUCUCUCAUCCUCUCAGACUCUCAUCUCCAUUUAUUCAUUUCUUGUUACUUCUCUCUCAUUCUCUUCUCAACCAUACAAAACACAAUAAUAAAUAACAAAAUCAAAACAAUAUAAAUAAAAACUUACAAGAAGAACAAGUUUGGGUGCUUGUGUUGAUUUUUGAAAGGUUGGUCUUUGGAGAUUUGUCCUCUUCAUCUCUUUUCGUUUGCCCAUGGAGAUUUCGAAAGGGCCGUGGUGAUUGGGGGCGAGAAAUCACGUCGACGAUAGCGUCUCCGUUCAGGUUCUAUUGUUGCAGCUUAGGCGUUUCUUUGGGCACAUAUCAACUACCCUUUUCUUAUGGAAGAAUUCCCUUAUUUAAGGAUUCUGAGGCAAAAUGUCAAUCUUCUUGGUGAUUUUGUUUAAUUUAGGUGGUUGUAAAUUAAGUUAGAUUUCUUAAUUUUUUGGAUGUAAUUAUAUUGGUUAUUUAAUUUAUUAAACAUUUAUUUUUAGUGAUUAAAUUUUUUGGUUGA
Molecule: long non-coding RNA, 693 nt
Organism: Spinacia oleracea (spinach)
Lineage: Eukaryota; Viridiplantae; Streptophyta; Magnoliopsida; Caryophyllales; Amaranthaceae
Exons: 2
Source: RefSeq, a predicted model, not a curated record